GGCAGGAUAUGGCAGCAUCUUCGGUUGUGCGUCAAGAAUUCUGCAUACAGUAGCACGUUUGUAUGAAGGUGCGGUUAUUCACAGGCAAAUUGUUAUAUGCUAUGGAGGUACGUUUGUGUCUUUUUGUCGAGCGCAAAACCUUUUUUAUUUUCAAUCAAAAAUAAUUGUUCUGAAAGCAAAUUUUUGGACACAAAGGAAGUCAUAGCGGACACCUACGAAGAAGGACUGUGUGAUGAUGGCAUCUCAGAGACCGAGCUGAUCAAGGGGUCGAAAAUGUAGAUAUUGCCAGAUGUUCACUGUCCGAGGAACAGGCCGUGGAAGCUUUAUUGCUGGCAAAACUAUCCAUAACCAGAGGUUAUAUCAGCUGUUUUGGUGAACCCCUCCUGCAUCUGAACUG
RNAcentral lists this long non-coding RNA (397 nucleotides) under Salmo salar (Atlantic salmon). Its description in RNAcentral is "lncRNA (ENSSSAG00000099874.1)". The record is from RNAcentral. Lineage: Eukaryota; Metazoa; Chordata; Actinopteri; Salmoniformes; Salmonidae.